Molecule: ribosomal RNA, 860 nt
Filed under: uncultured bacterium
Lineage: Bacteria
Description: bacterial SSU rRNA
Rfam family: Bacterial small subunit ribosomal RNA
Source: RNAcentral
AGAGUGAACGCUGGCCGGCGUGCUUAACACAUGCAAGUCGAACGAGAACGGAUUAUAGCUUGCUAUGAUUGUCAGCUAAGUGGCGCACGGGUGAGUAAUAUAUAGGUAACAUGCCCCAAAGAAGAGGAUAACGUUUGGAAACGAACGCUAAUACUCUAUAUGCCUUUAAGUCAUAAGACUGCAAGGGAAAUAUUUAUAGCUUUGGGAUUGGCCUGUACGGUAUCAGCUAGUUGGUGAGGUAAGAGCUCACCAAGGCAAUGACACCUAACUGGUUUGAGAGGAUGAUCAGUCACACUGGAACUGAGACACGGUCCAGACUCCUACGGGAGGCAGCAGUGGGGAAUAUUGCACAAUGGACGAAGGUCUGAUGCAGCAACGCCGCGUGGAGGAUGACACAUUUCGGUGCGUAAACUCCUUUUAUAUCUGAAGAUAAUGACGGUAGGAUAUGAAUAAGCACCGGCUAACUCCGUGCCAGCAGCCGCGGUAAUACGGAGGGUGCAAGCGUUACUCGGAAUCACUGGGCGUAAAGAGCAUGUAGGCGGGUAAUUAAGUCAGAAGUGAAAUCCAAUAGCUCAACUAUUGAACUGCUUUUGAAACUGGUUACCUAGAAUAUGGGAGAGGUAGAUGGAAUUUCUGGUGUAGGGGUAAAAUCCGUAGAGAUCAGAAGGAAUACCGAUUGCGAAGGCGAUCUACUGGAACAUUAUUGACGCUGAGAUGCGAAAGCGUGGGGAGCAAACAGGAUUAGAUACCCUGGUAGUCCACGCCCUAAACGAUGCACACUAGUUGUUGCUAUGCUAGACAUAGCAGUAAUGCAGUUAACACAUUAAGUGUGCCGCCUGGGGAGUACGGUCGCAAGAUUA